This 112-nucleotide ribosomal RNA is filed under the name Caerostris darwini. The record is from RNAcentral. Lineage: Eukaryota; Metazoa; Arthropoda; Arachnida; Araneae; Araneidae.
AACGGCCGUACCAUGCUGAAUAUACCGGUUCUCGUUAGAUCACCGAAGUCAAGCAUCAUUGGGCGCGGUCAGUACUUGGGUGGGUGACCAUCUGGGAACACUGCGUGUCGUU